GAUGAAGAACGCAGCGAAAUGCGAUAAGUAAUGUGAAUUGCAGAAUUCAGUGAAUCAUCGAGUCUUUGAACGCACAUUGCGCCCCCAGGUAUUCCGGGGGGCAUGCCUGUCCGAGCGUCAUUGCUGCCCUCAAGCACGGCUUGUGUGUUGGGCCCCCGUCCCCGGUUUCCCCCGGGGACGGGCCCGAAAGGCAGCGGCGGCACCGCGUCCGGUCCUCGAGCGUAUGGGGCUUUGUCACCCGCUCUGUAGGCCCGGCCGGCGCCAGCCGACACCCAACUUUAUUUCUAAGGUUGACCUCGGAUCAGGUAGGGAUACCCGCUGAACUUAAGCAUAUCAAUAAGCGGAGGA
RNAcentral lists this unclassified non-coding RNA (348 nucleotides) under soil metagenome. RNAcentral describes it as "partial contains 5.8S ribosomal RNA, internal transcribed spacer 2, and large subunit ribosomal RNA". The stretch from base 1 to 120 matches the Rfam family "5.8S ribosomal RNA", at positions 35 to 154 of the family's 154-position model. The record is from RNAcentral.